AAAUGGAUAAUUAUAUAAAUUUGAAAGGGAUACAAUGCAAAAGUUUUGGAAGAACAAUUCUUAAAUUCACUCCAAGGGAUGUUAUAUAGGUUAACAAAAAUAUUUUACAGCGUUUAUGUCUCGUUUAUUUGCUCUGUUAAAACAAAACGACAUCGUCUACUUCAACUUCCUUCUUCCGUUUUCUCUUCUUUCGAUUUGAUUUGAGCUGAGGAACAUCGUUCGUCUCCUCGCCAGAUGGGAUUUGAAUCGAUUCGGCUUCUAUAGGAUUUGAGAUAAUGAAAUCAAUUUGAGGAUUUAGGGUUUAAAUUUGUUUCAACAGACAAAACGCCGUCUUUUGUCUAGCAAUAAACGACAUCGUUUUGUUCUAAUAGAGCAGAUAAACGGAACAUUAACAUCGUAAAAAGUUUUGUUAAUCUAUUUAACGACAUGACUCAAAUGGCAAAUCAACAAAAACUUUGUCAUUUAUUUAGAAAGUCAACAAAAAUAUUACGAUUUAUUUGUCUUAUGUGAAGUUCAAGAUUAAAUCGUCCCAAAUUUAAAGUUGGUGAUUUUUUUGACAUUUUCCCCUAAUAAAACCUCCCUAUUUUU
RNAcentral lists this small RNA (588 nucleotides) under Arabidopsis thaliana (thale cress). RNAcentral's name for it is "ATSL029180". Lineage: Eukaryota; Viridiplantae; Streptophyta; Magnoliopsida; Brassicales; Brassicaceae. The record is from RNAcentral.